UUCAGUUCUGGCGGUUUCAGUUAAUGUUUGGGACUCAGAAGUAUAAGGGAAUAAAAAUUAGAUUUUGGAAGGAGACACAUUUUGAGAAACUCCACACCCCAGUUUGGACUAGCUCCUCCAUGUCUGCCAUUUAUACUCUGUCUUUUCCCUGGCUUCUUGUGGAGUUAUAGAGCAGCUUCAGAAGACUAUAGUGUGUGUGGAUGGAAUGUCAUUUCCUGAUCUUUACAAAAUCUAAUUUUGUUCCUGUCUGUCAGAAAACACCAGAGACAGCAUGAUGCAACGGAUUGGGAAAGCCAGGUGCCAAGAAGGCAGCUCUGGAGGUCCAGAGGGAUCUAAGGAGCAUGACUCAAGAUUGAGCCAUGGACUUGGUGAGCAGUGCUUACUGGGACAAGAGGAGUCUCUAUUUGAUUAUGCUUCUGGAGCAAGGUGCAAGAAGAGGACUAAAUAUGAUUCAAAUACUUCUCAGUCUAGGUGCUGCAGCUUGGACAUUGGACUACAAAGCUUGUGAUGGAUCAGACCACACUUGAAGGGGACCGUUUGAAUGAAGGAAGAGGGUGAGAAGCAUUUCAGGUGUGUCAGCACCCAUGGGAUAGCAGGUUGUCAGGAUCCCAGCACAUCACCAGGAAACUCUGGGAGACAGCUGGAUGAACAGAGGAUGGGGUCUGACACGGGAGGACCUCUACCCUGCAGAGAGCCAAGGACAGUGCAGGCUGUGGCCAUCCAAAGGUGAGAGUGGAGCUGGAGCUUUGUGCCCCCACCCUCUGCCCCUUAGAAGGAUGCCUGAAGAGAGUGCAGGAAGGACACGGGAUGAAGGGAAGAAGACCCCCAACUGCAAGCAACAGCUGAUGGCCAGCAGAAGCAGAUCCCAAGGGAUGUAACUUGGGUGAAGGGACAGACAUUCCUUAUAAUGAAAGUCAUCACUCAGAAUCCUGGUCAAAGCACCCACAUGCAUUCAUAUUAUAUCAUUUUACUUUCUAUCUAAACUACUACUUUCCUAUAAUCUCAGAGUGGCUAAAGGAUGGGCUCUGUCCUUUUUAUGGUCUUGCCUUUCUUAGUCAAUGAUCUGGAUUCAAGCCAGGGUUUGUGUUGGCAAACCUCAGCAUUCACCAUGAGACUCCAUCAUCCUUUCUUUUUUCUACUCCUGUUUGUCUCUCUUUCUCUAAUAAAAAUCCUGAAAUGCCCA
Molecule: long non-coding RNA, 1183 nt
Filed under: Anser brachyrhynchus (Pink-footed goose)
Lineage: Eukaryota; Metazoa; Chordata; Aves; Anseriformes; Anatidae
Description: lncRNA (ENSABRG00000008078.1)
Source: RNAcentral